Molecule: long non-coding RNA, 4883 nt
Organism: Tympanuchus pallidicinctus (lesser prairie-chicken)
Lineage: Eukaryota; Metazoa; Chordata; Aves; Galliformes; Phasianidae
Exons: 5
Source: RefSeq, a predicted model, not a curated record
CGCCGAGCUCCCUCUCCUACUACUUCCGGCGGAAAACGACUAGCGGAACUCCUCUACGUAAAGCAGACGCGAAGCGCGGGACGCCUGCAACGCAUGCGCAAAACGGAAGUGCCUUGGCUUGGAGACAUGAAGUGGGUUCAUUCUGGAUGAAAUUAACUGGAAGAUGUGCUACAGGAAUGCAGCAGGAGUAUAAUGCAGAGCUCAGUCCCUGGAAUUGUACUAGAGGUGACAGGCAGCUCCAGAAUGUUCUGACUGUAGAGAGAGAAGAUUUUACUUUCAGCUACUCUCAGGUCUGCAACAUCAGCGAGAAACUAUAUGGAAAACCUGCCCAUUUUUUUUAUCUACAACCUGUAGGAGAGCGUUAAAAGGAAAAAUGAAACUGUGAUUUGCUACAGAUUUCCCUUCUGACCCUCACUGAGGGAUCACUGCAAGUUGUGCAUUUUCCACGCUUUCCUACUGUUCACUUCUUCGCAUAUCCAAGCCUCUGCAAGGCAAGGAGCAAGAAGACUGGCCAUGAAAAACAAACAAACAAACAAACAAAUAAAAAACAACAAAACAGAGGAAGAAUGAGGAAAAGAUCAAGAAUUUUAGAGAUUAUAUAAUAUGAUAUGGCAGAGAUCAACAAUGGCCAGUUUUAUGUGCUGCAGGAUUGUCCAUAACCUCACCUGAACAUUAUCAAAAAUGUCCAAAUGGGACUUGUUUAGACUUCUCCCACUUAAGAAGGGAAGCCCCAAGCUUCAGUCAAAGGAAAAAAUGUACAUUCCUAUGAGGGCACUGAGCAGUGCUCUAAGACUUGAAAUUCCACUUAAGCCUACUUGCUUUGUCAGUGGAAAGGUUGGGUGCCUUUGAAGGCUUCUGAAGAGCAGUUAAGAGCCAUGAAAAAAGCAAUGCAGGAGCCAAGAGCACAAGGACUUCAGAUGAAGUUUCCAGUCUGGCUGUGAGCUUUUAACCACCACCACCCAGAGCAGGGCCAGAGUCCCACUCCUGCCCUUGUCAGCAAAGCAGGACAUGGCUCUGCAGAACAGACAGUGCAGUAGAAACAACUGCUGUGAGCCUCGGCUGGGAGGGACUGAGCAUUUUCCCCAUCCUGCUUUGGCAGAAUUGGCCAGGGUUCGAGGCAUCUUUCAUUUCCCAGCUCUGUUUUUGUUGCAGAAGACACAGCUUCUUUCUAUUUUUCUAGACUGGCCGAUCCCAGCAUGCACCAAAUCCAUGAAGGGAAAUAGGAAAUGAUUUUCUUAGUCCCUGAAUUGACCCGUGGGUCUGACAAUCCUGCUAGACUCGGCAGUUUCUCUGCUGGUUUGAAGAGAGCGUGUUUAUGCACCUGGGAUCAUGCAGCUUGAAUUAUUCUUUUAAACAUUUUCAUAGAGAGUGGCAGUGUAACAGAAAUCACUAAACAAAAUGUACAUUGUGUGUGACAGUUAGCAACGGGCCGGUUCACAGAUUGUUAAGGGCUAUUGAAAGUCAUGCUUGUGUUUUUCUUCUUUAACAUUUUUCAAGGACAAUUUGAUUGCAUUUCCCAGAAAGGUUAAUAUAAACAAUCUGCUCCCUUCAUUUUUAUGAGAAGCGUUUAAAAGUAAAACGUCCUGCUGUUAUUUCGCUAUUGCCUGUGUUAUUGAUGGCUGAGGAUUCCCAAAUAAGUUCUGAAAUUUUGCAGCUUUGCACAUUUCUGGGAGAAUUACUCAAAAGUCCACUGUCUCAUUCCCCAUCCACAGCUGCCCUGAGAAAGAUAAAACUUUCUUCAACGUCUCUUUAAGCCUAAAAGGCAGGAUUCAUCCCUUGGACUUCAGCCUCAUAAAGAUUAGGUAUCUAUUCUGAACCAGUUAUUUAAUGCCCUCCACAAUCAGAAGAGGAGAAGCAAGUCUAGGUGCCAGCUUGGCUCAUCUUCUAUAGGUGCCAGUCUUUGACAUAAGUGACUUACUUUGUGGAAGCAGUUUUCUUUCUCCACCAAAAACAAAGUCAGUCCAAACAACUCACUCAGAUUGUGUCAUGUCUGUCCUUCCCCUGGUGUGCUCUCUGGCUCUGCCCCACAGAUUGUGUUGUUAGGACCUCUUCUGCUGUCAAUGUCUGUCAGGGUAACCAGCUGCCUCCAAUGCUUACAGAAGUACUCUGCACCUAACAAACGCGGAAAUACUGCCUCAAAGAGUAACUUCUGAAUGUACUUAUGAGUAUUCUUGGGCCAAAUUUGCAAUUCCACUGUAAGUCUACAAUCACAGGUAGGUAUUCCAUCUUAUUUCUGGAUGACCUGUCAUGGUAAUAUUUAUUUUCAGUUUAUUUGAGUGCUUUGAGUAUAGGGUUGGACUAGCAAGGGACUUAUACAGGUCCCUUCCACCCUAAACUUAUGUAUGAUUGUCUCUAUAAUUUUCACAAAACCAAUAUGUUACCUAACAGUCAUUCAGAGUGUUGUCCAAGUCAAAUGUUAUGUUGAUUUUGUUCCCUCCUCUCUCCAACCUCCACGUACAAAAUUGAAAGCAGAGAUAAAAUGAACAAAACUGGAACAAAACACUUGACCUCUCCUUGGUCAAGUGUUAAGCCUCUCCAAUGCCUUCCCACCAGUACAAAAAGUGGACCUCUUGCAUCAGAUUGCCAUCGGUUCUAAGGGCAAUAUCAGCAGUUAAAACUUCUGGUACUGAGGUCAGCAAUGAACCUCCCAUCAACAUGAGCUGUGCAAGGCUCUGGGGAAGAUUUUUGUUCACAUGUUCACCUGUUCACCAUAGCACUACUCACCUUUUCUGCUGCAGUGUUUGCUGAGGUGCCCUUAGUUGCAGGAAGGAGCUGCAUACCAUCUUGGCAUUCCUGAGCACUGCAAAAUAUGCCUUAGCAUGAAAGGUGCACACCAUGCAUUUUAGAAAAACAAAAAAUUAUCCAAAUGCAACAUAAGCUUUUAGAUUUCGGUUAAAUCUAGAUAGAUGUGAUUCAUAAGGUGUAGCUGAGAGCAAGUCAGGACCUUCCCUUCUCAAGGCAGACAGGUCCCGAUUGUGCUCUCAGACCCACAUGUGCAUUUCCCAUUUUCUGCCCCUCAUUGGCUGCACAGCCACUCUUUGACAACACAGAAACAGGGCUGACAACACAGAAACAGGGCUCCUCUGCUUGUAUGUUAGCAGAUCUCUGCCUCCUGCCAGCCAAGUCUUCCCAGAAAGCUGCUUCCAUAGCUUUUCUUAGGCAUUUUCUUUGUUAUCCUACUAUUUGUUUUUCUGCAGAUGUAUUACUAUUGCAAAACCUAUUCUUUACACUCACCCAGAUACACAGAACACUUUUGUUCAGAUUUGCUGGGGCACAACUGAUCUCAAUGCUGUGAUCACCAAUGCAUAAAAAAACACAUUGCCAGUUUUCAUUAGAUUCUUGCUGGCUGCAGAUGCUCAAAUACAAAUGGUCACUUUAUAUUAAAAAUUACACUGUGCACAGAACUGUGCGUGCGUAUAUGUGUAUUUAAAAGUGACCUUAUUUCAAGAAAGAACAGUUGAAAAGAAAAACACAAAAAAAGGCAAAACCACCAACUUGCCACCACUGUGUUAAAGCAGCAUUUAAUAUACACUUCCAAAAAGACAAACAGAAGAUGUGAUAAAGGUUCAAACCCCAAAAUCCAGAGUGUGAAACUAAGGAGGCAGCCAGCACCAGUGGGUCAGCAGUGCCACACCACAGACAAACCUUUUCUCAGAUGCCAAGUGAUGCCACAGCUGGCACGAGGCAGCAGUAGGUGUGAGUACUUCCAUCAGACCCGGCUUAGAGGUAGUUCCCAUUAAAAUCUCUCAGUGCCAGUCAUUCAGGCCCUAAAAUGUGCACAAGUGACUAAUGGUUUCCAAUGCCUCCAGUGCUCCAGCAUGUGGCUGGAUAUCUGAAGAGAGGUGUGGGUGGUCUCUAAAAGUUAAUCUCUUAUAAGAAGCGAACCCAAAAUUAACAGUUGUUUUCCAGCAUUUCCAGUAUUGAUGUAGCCUUUAAGCAGAGAAGCUGAAGAUCUUCCUUCAUGCUGAAAACAUGACAGCCCCUGUACUGGUGAGAAACUCAAAUUUAUCUUGGUAACACUCCCUAUAUAAGGAACAUUUUCCAGAGUCUCUCAUUCACUGCAUAAAAGCCCACUACAAGACAGCUAACAUAUCUAAAAUAUACUCCCUGCUCUCCAAGACGUACUCACAAAUCAUCUGGUUUAAAAGAGCCCUCUCCAAGUGUGCUUCACAAAGUUUUCCAUUUGCCCUCCCAGGCAGCUUAGCAACGUCGCUGGCGAUAAAUAAUGUUGCAAAGGAAAUUCUGUGUCAACUAGGAGGGUUACAGAAAAAACCCACUAUAGAAAAUGUACAAAAAGUAUAAUUUAUUGCCCCCCCAGCAUCUGCUUUUAUCUGUAUCCUUUUGAGAGCAAAUUAACAAGUCUUGCGUAUCUCCAUAUGUUUCUUUCUGAGGAGCAUCACGGCUGUGAAGGUGCGUGUUUGUUUGGUCUGUAAUAACAAACACGUAUGUUUGUUAUACACUGGAGAAUGUGAGGAUUAAAUGUUGAUGAUGCUUUUAUAAUAUGAUAAAUCACCAGAAGAAAAAAGAAAUAUUUUAAAAGCCAUAAGGAUUUUUUCAUCUUUUGUCUACAGAAAGCAGCCCAAAUCCUAGUGUUUCAUGUGUACUUUUCAGGUAAUAAAAGCAGCUGCUUUCAAAAUGUGAAUAAACCCCAUAUGCUUACUAAAACCACCCUUCGAAGGCCAGCAAGUAAUUCACAUUAUUUUUUAAAAAUUGGAAUUCUUUUUCUUUUUCAGCUCCAGAAACAGAAUGAAAGAAGUGACCUUUAUUUGAAUAAACAUUCUUUUCAACUUGUCGAUAGCUAAUGUAUGUUUAUAUACAUACAUACAUACAUACAUACAUACAUAUAUAUAUAUAAAAAAAAAAGAUGUAGGCAACUCAGUUAG